UCUUGCAUAUGUCUUUGCCUUAUCACCAAUUGUAUAAAUAUCUAGGGUCUUUAUUUCAAGACAGAUUUUAAAUACUUCCACUAAUCAAUCAAAAGCUUUAUAGGAAAUAUGAGUUAUAUAUAGACCAAUUUAAAACCCACAGCUCUAGUCAAAUUUCACUGUGAUUACUUAGGAAGCACUACAAUGUAUAUAGCCAACCAAUUCUACAGCAACAAAUGGAAAAAGAGGAAAAAAACAAAACCAACUAAUUACAGUGUUCAUCUGGCAAAUUAAGAACAGUG
This is a long non-coding RNA of Oxyura jamaicensis (ruddy duck), 281 nucleotides long. RefSeq lists it as uncharacterized. NCBI's taxonomy places the organism in Eukaryota, Metazoa, Chordata, Aves, Anseriformes, Anatidae. The transcript has 3 exons. The record is from RefSeq and is a predicted model, not a curated record.